RNAcentral lists this ribosomal RNA (577 nucleotides) under uncultured delta proteobacterium. RNAcentral's name for it is "bacterial SSU rRNA". It matches the Rfam family "Bacterial small subunit ribosomal RNA", at positions 71 to 624 of the family's 1533-position model. Lineage: Bacteria; Deltaproteobacteria. The record is from RNAcentral.
AAGUUAACUUCGGUUAGCGAGUAGAGUGGCGCACGGGUGAGUAACGCGUAAAUAAUCUACCCUGAUGUCUGGGAUAACCCUCCGAAAGGGGGACUAAUACCGGGUAUAUGCUUGACUGUCGGGUCAAUCAGGAAAGGUGGGGCUUCUUCGGAACCUAUCGCAUCGGGAUGAGUUUGCGUACCAUUAGCUAGUUGGUGAGGUAACGGCCCACCAAGGCGACGAUGGUUAGCGGGUCUGAGAGGAUGAUCCGUCACACUGGCACUGGAACACGGGCCAGACUCCUACGGGAGGCAGCAGUGAGGAAUAUUGCGCAAUGGGGGAAACCCUGACGCAGCGACGCCGCGUGAGUGAGGAAGGCCUUCGGGUCGUAAAGCUCUGUCAGAAGGGAAGAAGUGCAAUACAGUUAAUACCUGUAUUGUUUGACGGUACCUUCAAAGGAAGCACCGGCUAACACCGUGCCAGCAGCCGCGGUAAUACGGAGGGUGCGAGCGUUGUUCGGAAUCACUGGGCGUAAAGGGCGCGCAGGCGGUUUGUUUAGUCAGGAUGUGAAAAGCCCACGGCUUAACCGUGGAAGUGC